GGACGGGACACCCCUCCCCACCGAGGGGCGCCUAUCUGAAAGGGUAGAUACA
This is a regulatory RNA element of Rhodovulum sp. PH10, 52 nucleotides long. It matches the Rfam family "serC leader". Rfam says of the family: This family is a putative regulatory RNA structure that is found upstream of the serC-serA operon in some alpha-proteobacteria. The final stem of the structure overlaps the ribosome binding site of the serC reading frame. Lineage: Bacteria; Pseudomonadati; Pseudomonadota; Alphaproteobacteria; Rhodobacterales; Paracoccaceae. The record is from Rfam.